RNAcentral lists this ribosomal RNA (497 nucleotides) under uncultured bacterium. Its description in RNAcentral is "partial 16S ribosomal RNA". It matches the Rfam family "Bacterial small subunit ribosomal RNA", at positions 28 to 507 of the family's 1533-position model. The record is from RNAcentral.
GAUGAACGCUGGCGGCGUGCCUAAUACAUGCAAGUCGAGCGAACGGACGAGAAGCUUGCUUUUCUGAUGUUAGCGGCGGACGGGUGAGUAACACGUGGAUAACCUACCUAUAAGACUGGGAUAACUUCGGGAAACCGGAGCUAAUACCGGAUAAUAUUUUGAACCGCAUGGUUCAAAAGUGAAAGACGGUCUUGCUGUCACUUAUAGAUGGAUCCGCGCUGCAUUAGCUAGUUGGUAAGGUAACGGCUUACCAAGGCAACGAUGCAUAGCCGACCUGAUAGGGUGAGCGGCCACACUGGAACUGAGACACGGUCCAGACUCCUACGGGAGGCAGCAGUAGGGAAUCUUCCGCAAUGGGCGAAAGCCUGACGGAGCAACGCCGCGUGAGUGAUGAAGGUCUUCGGAUCGUAAAACUCUGUUAUUAGGGAAGAACAUAUGUGUAAGUAACUGUGCACAUCUUGACGGUACCUAAUCAGAAAGCCACGGCUAACUACGUG